GUUUUUUGGCUGCCUGUUUUCUAUCAUCCAAUUGCGCUGGACCUGGAAUAGGGACAUAUGCGUGAAAGGAGCUGCUGUGACCGAACAGCGCUGGAUGAGCAAGGUGAAGUGAUUGAGUGAGAGUCUCUGUGUAGUGUGUGUGCACCCCCUCCUCUUCUGAGAUACAGCAGACUGGCAUGAUUUGCUGGUGUUGUGGCCCUGGCUGUUGGCCGCAGGUUGGACUCUCUCUCAUCCUCAAGAUUUUCCUUGUUGGCAUGCUCUCCACCUCUGCGGCUUCUUCCAGUUAGCUGUUGUCACCUAAGGAAGCUGCUCUGCUCCAGUCUGGCUGCAAAUGGACCAGUGCUGUAGUAUCACCAUCCAUCUCCUCUACUCUCUACCUCUCCUUGCUUCCAUUCUUCUUGUCCAUUGUUCAGUUUCGUUUCUCACAAACAGCCUUCCAGUCGACCUGAUCGCUGGAAGAGAACUGUGAUCAGCUACAUCCUCAUCCUCAGUUGAGCCAGGGCUUGAGGAAACAAGCGGUCAGCUAUUUUUCUUAACCGCCAAGUUACAUAACAAUUCAUCAAAGCUGGGAUUAAAAUUUUGUGAAGGAGCAGCUUUGACUGCUGGAAGACUUAAGCGUAUUAGCUUUAAAAACCAAGAUGGGAGUUUCAAGUGAUGUAUGGCAGACUUCAAAGAUGUUUUAAUCUGUCAGUAGGCAUGCUCUUGUACAGGCUAUUUAUAUUAAGACACAGAGUCUCUUUUACCUGCACAUCGUAAUCAGUGGUUUCUCUGGUUAAACUGAGCCUGAUACUGUUAACCAGUUAUUAAACAGCUGCACUUCCUCUGUAUUUUUACAAGUUUUCUUACUGGUCUUCAGUGGUACAGCAUGUACUGAUUAUAAAGUGUUUAUAUCCUUUGUCACAUAAUUUGAUGGUUCAA
Myxocyprinus asiaticus (Chinese sucker) is the source of this 918-nucleotide long non-coding RNA. RefSeq lists it as uncharacterized. The record is from RefSeq and is a predicted model, not a curated record. The transcript has 4 exons. NCBI's taxonomy places the organism in Eukaryota, Metazoa, Chordata, Actinopteri, Cypriniformes, Catostomidae.